Molecule: small nuclear RNA, 155 nt
Filed under: Penaeus monodon (black tiger shrimp)
Lineage: Eukaryota; Metazoa; Arthropoda; Malacostraca; Decapoda; Penaeidae
Description: U1 spliceosomal RNA
Rfam family: U1 spliceosomal RNA
About the family: U1 is a small nuclear RNA (snRNA) component of the spliceosome (involved in pre-mRNA splicing). Its 5' end forms complementary base pairs with the 5' splice junction, thus defining the 5' donor site of an intron.
Source: RNAcentral
AUACAUACCUGGCACAGGUGAUGCCGUGAUCACGAAGGCGCUUCUCCUAGGGCGAAGCUCACCAUUGCACUCAGUUGGCGCCGACCCCAGCGAAUAACCCAAAUGUGAUUAAAUCGAGUGCGCAAUUUUUGGUAGCGGGGGCCUGCGUUCCCUUA